RNAcentral lists this ribosomal RNA (520 nucleotides) under uncultured Glomus. RNAcentral describes it as "SSU rRNA". It matches the Rfam family "Eukaryotic small subunit ribosomal RNA", at positions 569 to 1091 of the family's 1831-position model. The record is from RNAcentral. Lineage: Eukaryota; Fungi; Glomeromycota; Glomeromycetes; Glomerales; Glomeraceae.
AGCAGCCGCGGUAAUUCCAGCUCCAAUAGCGUAUAUUAAAGUUGUUGCAGUUAAAAAGCUCGUAGUUGAAUUUCGGGGUCAGUAGGUUGGUCAUGCCUUUGGUAUGUACUGGUCUCACUGAUUCCUCCCUCUUGAAGAACUGUAAUGUCAUUAAUUUGGUGUUGCGGGGAAUCAGGACUGUUACUUUGAAAAAAUUAGAGUGUUUAAACAGGCUUACGCUUGAAUACAUUAGCAUGGAAUAAUGAAAUAGGACGUUUGAUCCUAUUUUGUUGGUUUCUAGGAUUGACGUAAUGAUUAAUAGGGAUAGUUGGGGGCAUUAGUAUUCAAUUGUCAGAGGUGAAAUUCUUGGAUUUAUUGAAGACUAACUACUGCGAAAGCAUUUGCCAAGGAUGUUUUCAUAAUUCAAGAACGAAAGUUAGGGGAUCGAAGACGAUCAGAUACCGUCGUAGUCUUAACCAUAAACUAUGCCGACUAGGGAUCGGAUGGUGUUAAUUUUUUAAUGACUCAUUCGGCGCCUUAC